UUCGCGAUUCAGGGUGAUUCAACUCGGACGGUUCACUCAAUCUUUUUGAAGCGGUUUCUCAGUCGGCAAACGUGAUAGGGAACUUCAAGAAGUAUAAAAACGCAUAUUGAACUUAUAUACAAUCUGCUUGAAAGCAAACCUGGAAGUUCGUCUUUUUGUUUUUCCAGCGAUGAAGAUUCAUUAUGACCAACACGCGCACGUGCGUCCCGAGAACCCCUCUACUGCAGGUUUUGGCAAGAAAUAAUCUUAAAUGCUUCAACCCAAACAGAAGAACAGAAUGGCCUGCAGUGACAACGCAAUGAAGAGGUAAACACUUCCUGGGGUACCAUCAGUGAGAGACGUGCAUUUAGUGUAGUAUCCGGUAAUACUAGACAGGACAGAUGAGGUCAACAUGUGUUGGUUCAUCAGCAGCAUAACAGCACAAUGUGCCAGAACACUGACACCACACGGAUAAAGGGAGAGAGAGAGAGACAGACCUAAAUUAUCAGCCUUUCACGAAAAGAUACUGAACAGACUCUGUCGGUGAGGAGAG
Molecule: long non-coding RNA, 532 nt
Organism: Sinocyclocheilus rhinocerous
Lineage: Eukaryota; Metazoa; Chordata; Actinopteri; Cypriniformes; Cyprinidae
Exons: 4
Source: RefSeq, a predicted model, not a curated record